Molecule: long non-coding RNA, 1032 nt
Organism: Myxocyprinus asiaticus (Chinese sucker)
Lineage: Eukaryota; Metazoa; Chordata; Actinopteri; Cypriniformes; Catostomidae
Exons: 4
Source: RefSeq, a predicted model, not a curated record
UUUAGUAAUUCGUUAUCCCUCUCUUUAAAAAAAAUGUGGUAAAUCGUAAUAUCAUUUUAUAUUUGGCAGUAAACCACAGAAAAUGAGGUCAGCAAACAGUUCUGUGUUGUGAUUGGACAAAAUCGUCGUUGCCGGAACUGUUCAGCCAAUGAAUGCCCGAGAAUCAACUGUUGAAUCUGAGCGCCAGCUGCGUGCGGGAGAGCUGUCUGUCUGAAGAAGGAAGAGACAGCCUGGCUGCACAGAAGUCCGUGUUCACGCCAAGUGUUAAUGUUUAGCAUCAACUAAAGGAAAUCUCAGUUCAAUCCAGUCAUCAGGACCAUAUUUCGCUGUAUGUUCCCACAUGUCUUCAGAAGAUUCCUACAAGCAAACAGACAUGACCAAGAUGAGGCGGUGGCCACUGGUUUAAUGAUGGCUAACAAGAUCAUUGAGAGAAGCCGCCCACAGUGUCCAAAGCCUGGAGUUAUGGAAUUUUCUUCCUUAUGGAUGCCUCCUAAAAUGACUGAGAUCUUUCUCAGAGUUAAUGUUAAAACUGUUAUGUAGUGUCGGCUAAGGCAUACCAAAAACUCAUGGCUAGGAUAGAUGUGAACAGCCCUGAAGUAAAGACAAUUGAUGAAGUGGUAAAAAAUCAUUUUAAAUGGAGUUGGUUGCAGGAGAGUGUCCAGGUUGAAGGGUGCACCCUUUCACUGAAUUGUUUCAGUAAAAUCAGUGAACCAGGCAAGGCAAUUUGCAACAUACAGAAUGUAACCAACCUAUUAAUUAUGGAGCAAAUGGUAAGACUGCACUGCGGAAACAUAUGGAGCAUCCAGAACACACAAAAAAAUGGAGAAUCCAACAGCAAAACAUGCGCAUCGAGAUAGCACCCACAGAUAAUGUUAUUGUUGCGGCUCCUCACAGCGAACGUCCAAGGUCAAUUCCUCCUCUGUGUGACCUAAUAUAAUAUAAGGUGUGUGUGUGUGUGUGUGUGUGGUGGUGGGGGUUCGCUGGGGUUGCUUCCUUACUUCUUUUUUGCCCUUGGCUGAUCACAUGCCUGUU